GACGAACGCUGGCGGCGUGCUUAACACGUGCAAGUCGAACGGGAUUUAGUAAACAGAAGCCUCGGUGGAAGAUUACUAAUGAGAGUGGCGAACGGGUGAGUAACGCGUGAGCAACCUGCCUAUGACAGUGGGAUAGCCUCGGGAAACCGGGAUUAAUACCGCAUAAAAUCGUAGAAACACAUGUUUUAACGGUCAAAGAUUUAUCGGUCAUAGAUGGGCUCGCGUCUGAUUAGCUAGUUGGUGAGAUAACAGCCCACCAAGGCGACGAUCAGUAGCCGGUCUGAGAGGAUGAACGGCCACAUUGGAACUGAGACACGGUCCAAACUCCUACGGGAGGCAGCAGUGGGGAAUAUUGCACAAUGGGGGAAACCCUGAUGCAGCGACGCCGCGUGAACGAAGAAGGUAUUCGUAUCGUAAAGUUCUGUCCUAUGGGAAGAUAAUGACAGUACCAUAGAAGAAAGCUCCGGCUAAAUACGUG
RNAcentral lists this ribosomal RNA (478 nucleotides) under uncultured bacterium. Its description in RNAcentral is "partial 16S ribosomal RNA". It matches the Rfam family "Bacterial small subunit ribosomal RNA", at positions 28 to 507 of the family's 1533-position model. The record is from RNAcentral.